AAGGACGAGGAGAGCGAGACGGAACGGCGCACAGGCACAAUCAGCGAGGAAGAGGAAGGAGUCUUUAUCAGGAAAGAGGAGAAAUGGCUUUUAAUCUCCAUCUUGUGAGGCUGACAGUUUAUUAGAUCUGUGUGUGUGUGUGUGUGUGUGUGUGUGUGUGUGUGUGUGUGUGUGUGUGUGUGUGUGUGUGUGUGUGUGUGUGUGUGUGUGUGUGUGUGCAUGUGCGCGCGUGUGUGUGUGUGUGUACGCUGUGACAACAACUGCAGCUCAGUGCCCCGUGCUUCACCUUCAGUCCCUCGCGUCUCCCAUUCCACACAAAUGUGUUCCCACUUUGCUCGCCCUCUUGACUCCCUUCCUCUAACUCGGUUUUUAUUUAUCAUUAUUUUGAUUUUUUGCAGCGCACGUGGAAAUGUGUCAAAGUUGCUGGCAACAAGGUCAAACGUUCCUUCACCCCACAUUGCACAGACAGUGAUGACUCUGUACAUCUCAUGCUGUAUGGCAACAUCUGCACAUCUGCACAUGCAUCAAAAUGCUCACAACAAAGAAAGGCCAGGUGUGGCCAUUACUCUCCCAUCAGGUUUAGCAUCACCUGCCAUUUCAUUUUAAACACACCUCGCAGGCUCGUGUGUUCCAUUCCUCCGGCAAAGUUCAGGUGAUUUGUGGGAUUUCAUGCUGUCGGCGCUCCGCCACCGAGCGCCACACACGACUUCUGGCUCACGGGCGGCGAGUGGCGAACGCGCCGUGAAUGAUGAUCAGCGGGCGCCGCUGUUGCUGUUAAAUAUUGAAUAAUUAACUUUGUUAACCUUUCCACAGACUCGCCGCAGGUGUGGCACGGAUGUCACUCCAGUGAACCGGCCGAGACGUGGCUGAGAAUUUUAACAAGGUGAUUCAUGAUGCUCUUGAUGACAGAAACAGAGCUGAACUCAUUCAUGCACAGAGGGGUUUUAUGGGUGAUUAAUAAAUAUUACUU
This 970-nucleotide long non-coding RNA is filed under the name Betta splendens (Siamese fighting fish). RNAcentral describes it as "lncRNA (ENSBSLG00000004887.1)". The record is from RNAcentral. Lineage: Eukaryota; Metazoa; Chordata; Actinopteri; Anabantiformes; Osphronemidae.